AUACUGAGGGUGCGAGCGUUAAUCGGAAUUACUGGGCGUAAAGCGCGCGUAGGCGGUAAGUUAAGUUGGAUGUGAAAUCCCUGGGCUCAACCCAGGAACUGCAUUCAAAACUGGCUCACUAGAGUAUGGUAGAGGCAAGUGGAAUUCCAGGUGUAGCGGUGAAAUGCGUAGAUAUCUGGAGGAACAUCAGUGGCGAAGGCGACUUGCUGGGCCAAUACUGACGCUGAGGUGCGAAAGCGUGGGUAGCAAACGGGAUUAGAAACCCUAGUAGUCC
This 274-nucleotide ribosomal RNA is filed under the name uncultured bacterium. RNAcentral describes it as "partial 16S ribosomal RNA". It matches the Rfam family "Bacterial small subunit ribosomal RNA", at positions 523 to 796 of the family's 1533-position model. The record is from RNAcentral.